AGGAAUAUCGCUGCUGGGGCAGGUGAAAGCAGCUACAAGAAGUUAACAUCCUGUGGCAAGUCCUGUAAGAAAAGAGUAAGAAUUUUUACCCAAUGAUCUCAGUUCUCGAUUCAAAUAGAGCGCCAACGAAAGAGAAAAUAUAUCCACGCAAACGCAGGGGAGAGAGAGAGAGACUCCACUGUUAACGAUUUUAACAUCGACCGCCGGCGACUCGAAAACAUUGCAAAAUCGGCGCGAAUUAAAAAAUCGUCGGCGACGACAGAAACGCGGCAGAAACGUUGGAGCGGCGCGUUUCUGGCAGCCCAAGUCCAAAAACAGCGUGCGGCACACGAUGCGGAAUCGCAUCGAAACAGAAACAGAAGUGAAACGGCGGCGACUUACGUCGCGCGUCUAUCGCAAAAACGAACAGGCGCCCAGCGAUGGCAGCAGCGCGAUUUCAGGGCGAUUUAGUGAGACGCUGUUAGUGAUGAAAACGGUACUGCUCCGAGAGAGCGUAAGAGAGAGUAAGCGGGGGAGGGGGAAGAAGAGCGAAGAGAGCUAAGCAUUUUAUUCACUCUCUAUGCGCAUGUAUGUGUGUGUUUAUGGUGUGGGCUACACAGAAAACAAUAGACAAAUGUUUUUACAUAACAUUAGGACAUUAAACAAUAACUAACAUUGAAUAUUACUAGUAACUAUACAAAAAACUUACGAAUAAAGCGGCACAGUUAAACUUCCAGAUUUAAACCAGCUUUGCUUAAUUUUUAAAAAUGCCUAUAACUGCAAGUGUUGUAACUGUUCAAAUCCCAAACAAAAUAAAAAUAUUAUAGAUAUACGUAUAUUUUUCACUAAAUAGUUUAAUUUUAAAAGUAUCGUAGGAAUAAAAAGAGAUUAUAAUCAAACAAUUAAAAAAAUAAAAUAAAAAAUAAAAGGGUUGAAUUAUAAAGACUACAGUUACAAAAAAAAUAAAAAAAUUAAAUAUUAACUUAUGCUAUAAUAAAAAUGCACUCGAAUUAGAUUUUUCCCCGUGUAGCAAUGAAAUAGCUUUUGUAUUUAAGGCAUUUGCAUCUUAUUAUUAAAUUGUUGGGGACAGCUUAUAUAAUUUCAGACGAAAGCAGUACUAUCUGAUAAACUGAUCAUAAAAACGCACGUCAGCAAUGGAAUUAAUGAAUUAAUUCGCGAGCUGCAAAAAUCGCUCGCGUUUCGAGUCGCCCACCAAUGUUGCGGUUUAAAACGCGACCGGCAAGAAGAUACAUUUAAUUGCAAAAGGAAAUGCAGAGAGAAGAGCUAAGAGAAGGCUAAAAUCGUCGGCUGGCUGAAACGUCUGUUGGCCCAUGAGAAAACGACGCCAAACAAAAUGGUGCCGCCUCUAGUGACGAAAGCGACAAACUAACUAACGACUAAAACGACAAACGACAAACAACAGACGACAAACGACGGCGGCGACAAAAAGUCAAUUUUAUCGGAAACUAACAGGCUGCAAGCAGGCAGAGAAAGCUAUGCGGCGGGGAGGAAAAGCCAAGCGGACUUUCCACUUUUUUCACUGGCCUGGAAAAGCUCUCUUUCUCUAUUUCUCUAUGGCUCUGCGGCGCUGGGCGCCUAAUCCGAAUUGCGAGAAAGAUCCGCUUUUCGAGCCAAAAACCACCGAAAAGCCAACAGCUCGCACAAAAUUUCCGCCCAGCGGCACGCCCCCAUUUCGAGUAGCCGCCCCCUUUUGAAGUCCGGGCCAAAAUCCAAGCCAUCCGGCCGGGACAAAGGCGAGCGGCAGACUGAGGAAAAUCGAGGAAAAUUUGAAGCCAAACCGCAGGAAAUACUAGAGAAAAGGAGAUGGUCAAAAGGGGGAGAAUGUGCGACCUGACGAUGUUUUUAGGGGGGGCUAUCACAAAGUGGGCGAGAGUUGGGUGGAAAGUACAGAACCGACAUCUCCAUGCAAUUAGCUUGAUUGUCUCUGCACAUGCGCCCUGGGGAGAACUCCAACCGAGCACUAUAUUUACCCAAAGGCAAUCGUUUUAGUUCGCCUUUCUCAUAAAUCAAGAAGUUGUAUUAUUUUAUGGCUGAGCUCAAAAAGAUUUUAGUUCACACGCAGUGCAAAAACCGCAAGGCAAAUGAGAUAUAAAUAAAAAUCAAGGAAAGCCCACAAGUAAAUGCACAUUGUUGGCCAGCUGCAACAGCAACACAACAGCAGCAGCAGCAACUUCUCCACCAGCAACAUCAAGCGGCAACCGCAGCAACAGCAGCAACAACAGGUCCCCAAACAGAUGUCGUGCGAUUGUAAAAAGCAUGGAAAUAGCCACGGAGGAGGUUAGGGGUAUCUUGCAACAGCUGCAACAUGCAACAUUAUCGUCGAUGCUGCUGCAACAUUGCAGAGGGCGCCACUGUUGUUGUUCCAUGCCACCAGCGAUGCGGCGCACAGCAAAAUCAGCGUGGCGGUACAAUGGUAUAAUGCUAAAGUGGCAAGUGCCCCACCAGCGGGAUACUCAAGCACACACACACACACACACACACACUCUCGCGAACAAGGAAAAUUCGCAAUAAGGCAACAACACAAUACCGAACACAAGCAACAACGGCCAACGGAACCGGUUGUUCAGCAAGCAACAACGAAAACUAGCGCAAAAAGUAGUCGAGGAAAAAGAGGAGACCGCUGGAUGGCAUGGCUCCUCCUUCUGAGCUCCCAAUAUCAAAGAGCCCCAACUAUAACUCAGGAUUUUCUCAAGACGUCUUCGGGCAUUAUGAUGCUAGUAAAAAUCAAAGAUGCUCGUUAGGAUCUUAAGUGUUCCUGUGGUUUGGUAGUGUAUCUUAAUCAUUUACCUUUUAACAUCCUCUUUAUACACCCUGGUAAAAAUAAAUAUCCAGCAACAUGUAAUUUUGAAAACAUAUUUUUUAAAAUAUUAACUAUUUAAAUAAUUUGAUUAAAUCUUUCGCAUACUUAUAAUAACGGUAUUGUAAUAAAUUAAGGAAGAUUUUUAAGGAGAGCUAAGUCCUCUCCCAAAAGUUGAUUUAAGUGGUUUUUUUUAAUGUUGUUUAUCUGUUUACAAGAGCAGAAAGCCGUGAGCUGUGAGGUUGUCAAGUGGUCAAAGCUUAAGUUUAUCCAAAUUUGUUAUCAAUAAAAAAACAAAAAUUGCAAUUAAA
Molecule: long non-coding RNA, 3108 nt
Organism: Drosophila elegans
Lineage: Eukaryota; Metazoa; Arthropoda; Insecta; Diptera; Drosophilidae
Exons: 3
Source: RefSeq, a predicted model, not a curated record